UUCCAGUCUCACCUGCCCUGAUGUCUUUACCCCUAGCAUACCUGUGACCUGAUGUUUCACGUACUUUCCAUUCAUUUCUCAGAACUGCUGAGACAUAAUAGGUCUGUUACGGUUGAAUACACAGAUCACAAUAGAAUCUUCAUUUUUAUUUCAUCUUAGUUAUUCUAACCUCUUUCCCGCAGUGAUUAACUGUUACAGAGCAUGACCUUUAGACGAAUGGAGACUCACUGAGGCACGUAUGUUUCACACAAACUACUCACAAGUUUUCAAAACCCACUAGUUAUAACAAAUACAGUCUGUCUGCAGUGAUUGGCAUGUGUCCAGUGUUUGUAAUCUGGAAAUAACCUUGGCUGCUAGUUUGGAGAAAAAAUAGAACCAGGAUUUAAUUUUACAUACUUUACAUUCACAAACAUUCAAUCACUGUCUCUGUCGACUUUGAGAUCCAAUCACAGAGAUGAAUGUUGCUGACCGCUUGCUUCUCUAGUUAUACCAACUUUAGUAACUACCGCACGAUAGCAAUACACAGCGGCCUGAGGAGCCAUAAACAAACCUCAACCAAAACGCCACUCUGUAGGCACAACUAAUGCUCAGAACAGCACCUAACUUCAUCAACAGUACAUAUAGAGUCCCAACCAUAGUACUAGCCACCAAACAUCUUUUUAGCGUUGCCUGAUUUAUUUAGCAAAGAGACUAAACACAACUCACCUACUCUCUUCCAGCAGCCACUUGUUUGUAGCAGUGGGUUGACACAGUUCAAGGAAGAACAUUUAUGAUCAUUACUUUAUCAUUUCCUUAAAGUAAUAAUCACCAUAUCAAUCAUUUUGCACUUCAGACAUGGUAGUUCUUCUGCCUUAGCGUCUUGGUCUGAUUGCGUUUCCAUAAAGACAUAAUCAUAAAUGUUCUUCCUUGAGCUGCGUCUUGAGCUGUACUCCAUAAUAGACUGGCCCGAGGUCUUGCUACAAACAAGUGGCUGCUGGAAGAGAGUAGGUGAGUUGUGUUUAGUCUCUUUGCUAAAGAAAUCAGGCAAAGCUAAAAAGAUGUUUGGUGGCUAGUACUAUGUACUGUUGAUGAAGUUAGGUGCUGUUCUGAGCAUUAUUUGUGGCAAGAGUGGCACUUAAAUUGUUUGUUUAUGGCUCCUCAGACUGCUGUGUAUUGCUAUUGUACGGUCAUUCCUAAAGUUGGUAUAACUAGAGAAGCAAGCGGUCGGCAACAUUCAUCUCUCGAAGGGGUGUAACUCUGUGUUACUGUGUGUUUGACCCUGACUUAAUUUUACACUGGAAUAUCCCUUUAAAUCAAAUUAAGAUUUGUACUUUAAGGGAAAUUUUGUUGUCUUUCAGAGUUCUAUUGGCACCAAACUGCAGCAACAUGCAUCUACAAGGACUGACACCUGGAUACGGUUCAAAGUCUCUUGGAACCACAAUCAGUCAAGUACAGAGACUCAGGAACAGAUAACAAUACACACUGCAGUCUAUUCAGAACUACAGACUGCAAAAUGCUGGCUGCAUGCAGAUUCAACUCAGAUAAAGGAUAAAUACAAAAAUAAAGGGCUGACCACAGGUGUGAACAAAGCACCAUUUCCAAAAACAUUUACAAAUGGGGGACGCUGUGUGGAUCUUUGGGGAACUUUUUGAAGAUCUAACCCCCUCGCACCUACAACAACCAAAGAUAAAUGGGAUCUUUUAUCAUUUUAGAUGUUGUAUAAUUGUACAACUGAAGUCCCAGAGUUGAUGCGGGCUUCAGAUUCUAAGAGCUGCAACCUUGAGUUCACAAGCUUAGGGGAAUUUAUCUGAUCAUGACACCCUGAAUCGCAAACACAUCUUAUCAUGGCCAUUGUCCACAUUUUGGUUAAGAUCCUCUUGGAGAAGCUUUAGAGAGUGUGAGAAAAUACACCUUUAUAUUUGAAGAUAUAGAAUUGUUUACAAGUGUAAAAAAAAAAAAAAGCUUUUAUAAAAGACACUCGUAUUAUAAUUUCUGUGAAGUCAGUCCAGAGGAACUUGUCUGUUAUGGGCUAAUCGGUGUACAGCAGUCUGAAUAAUUAAAGAUAUUAAAGAUAGAAUAGUCAGCGUUCAACAGCAAGGAUUAAAACAAUGUGUAUCUCAUGGCUAUCUCUUUCCUGUUUAUGUAAGAACAAAGCAAGUCAUGUCUGAGUUAGAGUUUAGUCUGUCUGAAAGUGCAUUUCAAAAGUGCACUGUUACAAAAAAGGUGGUGUGAGUAGUUUCAAGUUUAUACAUUUACUGAUACGAAUGAUAACAUAAAAUAUAGUGUCGUCCGCAAAAAAUUGAACAUAGUCAUAAUAAACCAUCUAUUUCAACUUGCAAUCAACUAUCAACAUACAAAAACAAAACCUGCAAUGUAGUGAAUGUUUGUAUGGAACAUAUUUGCAUAACACUGACUGAUAAAUUUAUGAAAAUAAGACUGUGGCAACUUAAAAAUGACAGCUGUAUGGGUCUUACGUGCAAGCAGCCUGCUAGGACAUUUACUGUUUUUAGAGACCUCCUGGGAUCAGCAGGGGAUGUUUAAUUUACCUUAUUAAGCAGGUAGAGCCCUCAGUCUUCAGGAAGUUCUCUGUUAACAUUUACCUAAAGUUAAAACCAAGACAUACAGUGAGGCAUCUUUUUAUUACUAUGGCCCCUGUCUA
Molecule: long non-coding RNA, 2638 nt
Filed under: Xyrichtys novacula (pearly razorfish)
Lineage: Eukaryota; Metazoa; Chordata; Actinopteri; Labriformes; Labridae
Source: RNAcentral